AGUGAACGCUGGCGGUAGGCCUAACACAUGCAAGUCGAACGGCAGCACAGGAGAGCUUGCUCUCUGGGUGGCGAGUGGCGGACGGGUGAGGAAUACAUCGGAAUCUACUUUUUCGUGGGGGAUAACGUAGGGAAACUUACGCUAAUACCGCAUACGACCUACGGGUGAAAGCAGGGGAUCUUCGGACCUUGCGCGAUUGAAUGAGCCGAUGUCGGAUUAGCUAGUUGGCGGGGUAAAGGCCCACCAAGGCGACGAUCCGUAGCUGGUCUGUGAGGAAGAUCAGCCAAACUGGAGCUGAGACACGGUCCAGACUCCUACGGGAGGCAGCAGUGGGGAAUAUUGGACAAUGGGCGCAAGCCUGAUCCAGCCAUACCGCGUGGGUGAAGAAGGCCUUCGGGUUGUAAAGCCCUUUUGUUGGGAAAGAAAUCCAGCUGGUUAAUACCCGGUUGGGAUGACGGUACCCAAAGAAUAAGCACCGGCUAACUUCGUGCCAGCCGCCGCCGUAA
This 506-nucleotide ribosomal RNA is filed under the name uncultured bacterium. RNAcentral describes it as "partial 16S ribosomal RNA". It matches the Rfam family "Bacterial small subunit ribosomal RNA", at positions 29 to 523 of the family's 1533-position model. The record is from RNAcentral.